AGCGAACGUUUGCGGCGGGCUUAACACAUGCAAGUCGAACGGGCUGUUCCUUCGGGGGCAGUCAGUGGCGCACGGGUGCGUAACACGUAGGUAAUCAACCCUCUGGUUGGGGAUAACACUUCGAAAGGAGUGCUAAUACCCGGUAUGGCGCAGCGGUCUUCGGAUCGCGGCGAGAAAAGACCCCGCAAGGGUUUGCCAGAGGACGAGCCUGCGGCCCAUCAGCUAGUUGGCGAGGUAACGGCUCACCAAGGCGAAGACGGGUAGCUGGUCUGAGAGGAUGAUCAGCCACACUGGAACUGAGACACGGUCCAGACUCCUACGGGAGGCAGCAGUGGGGAAUAUUGCGCGAAUGGGCGAAAGCCUGACGCAGCCACGCCGCGUGAGCGAUGAAGGCCU
This 396-nucleotide ribosomal RNA is filed under the name uncultured bacterium. RNAcentral's name for it is "bacterial SSU rRNA". It matches the Rfam family "Bacterial small subunit ribosomal RNA", at positions 29 to 417 of the family's 1533-position model. The record is from RNAcentral.